Molecule: ribosomal RNA, 465 nt
Filed under: Vreelandella stevensii
Lineage: Bacteria; Pseudomonadati; Pseudomonadota; Gammaproteobacteria; Oceanospirillales; Halomonadaceae
Description: partial 16S ribosomal RNA
Rfam family: Bacterial small subunit ribosomal RNA
Source: RNAcentral
CCUACGGGUGGCAGCAGUGGGGAAUAUUGGACAAUGGGCGAAAGCCUGAUCCAGCCAUGCCGCGUGUGUGAAGAAGGCCUUCGGGUUGUAAAGCACUUUCAGUGGGGAAGAAAGCCUUGGGGCUAAUACCCUCGAGGAAGGACAUCACCCACAGAAGAAGCACCGGCUAACUCCGUGCCAGCAGCCGCGGUAAUACGGAGGGUGAGAGCGUUAAUCGGAAUUACUGGGCGUAAAGCGCGCGUAGGCGGUCUGAUAAGCCGGUUGUGAAAGCCCCGGGCUCAACCUGGGAACGGCAUCCGGAACUGUCAGGCUAGAGUGCAGGAGAGGAAGGUAGAAUUCCCGGUGUAGCGGUGAAAUGCGUAGAGAUCGGGAGGAAUACCAGUGGCGAAGGCGGCCUUCUGGACUGACACUGACGCUGAGGUGCGAAAGCGUGGGUAGCAAACAGGAUUAGAUACCCUAGUAGUC